CCUACGGUGUGCAGCAGUGGGGGAUAUUGCACAAUGGGGGGAACCCUGAUGCAGCGACGCCGCGUGGGUGAAGGAGUGCUUCGGCAUGUAAAGCCCUAUCGGCAGGGAAGAAGCAAGACGGUACCUGACUAAGAAGCCCCGGCUAACUACGUGCCAGCAGCCGCGGUAAUACGUAGGGGGCGAGCGUUAUCCGGAUUCACUGAGUGUAAAGGGAGCGUAGACGGCCAUGCAAGCCAGGGGUGAAAUCCCGGGGACCAACCCCGGGACUGCCCGUGGAACUGUUCGGCUAGAGUGCGGGAGGGGCAGGCGGAAUUCCUGGUGUAGCGGUGAAUGGCGUAGAUAGCAGGAGGAACACCGGCGGCGAAGGCGGCCUGCUGGACCGCGACUGACGUUGAGGCUCGAAAGCGUGGGGAGCGAACAGGAUUAGAUACCCUUGUAGUC
RNAcentral lists this ribosomal RNA (441 nucleotides) under uncultured bacterium. Its description in RNAcentral is "partial 16S ribosomal RNA". It matches the Rfam family "Bacterial small subunit ribosomal RNA", at positions 338 to 795 of the family's 1533-position model. The record is from RNAcentral.